This 398-nucleotide ribosomal RNA is filed under the name uncultured bacterium. RNAcentral's name for it is "partial 16S ribosomal RNA". It matches the Rfam family "Bacterial small subunit ribosomal RNA", at positions 523 to 918 of the family's 1533-position model. The record is from RNAcentral.
AUACAGAGGUCCCUAGCGUUGUUCGGAUUUACUGGGCGUAAAGGGCGCGUAGGCGGCAGGGCGUGUCAAGUGUGAAAUCUCCGGGCCCAACCCGGAAAGUGCGCUUGAAACUACCCUGCUUCGAGUGCGGGAGGGGGAGUCGGAAUGCAGGGUGUAGCGGUGAAGUGCGUUGAUAUCCUGCAGAACACCGGAGGCGAAGGCGGACUCCUGGAACGCAACUGACGCUGAGGCGCGAAAGUCGGGGGAGCAAACAGGAUUAGAUACCCUGGUAGUCCCGACCCUAAACGGUGCACACUCGGGGUGGGGGGAUUUCACCCCCUCCGUCCCUUAGCGAACGCGUUAAGUGUGCCGCCUGGGGAGUACGGCCGCAAGGCUAAAACUCAAAGGAAUUGGCGGGG